Molecule: ribosomal RNA, 524 nt
Filed under: uncultured bacterium
Lineage: Bacteria
Description: partial 16S ribosomal RNA
Rfam family: Bacterial small subunit ribosomal RNA
Source: RNAcentral
GACGAACGCUGGCGGCGUGCCUAAUACAUGCAAGUCGAGCGCAGGAAGCUGACGGAACUCUUCGGAGGGAAGGCAGUGGAAUGAGCGGCGGACGGGUGAGUAACACGUAAGGAACCUGCCUCAAGGAUUGGGAUAACUCCGAGAAAUCGGAGCUAAUACCGGAUAGUUCAUCGGACCGCAUGGCCCGUUGAUGAAAGGCGCUUCGGCGUCACCGUGAGCUGGCCUUGCGGUGCAUUAGCUAGUUGGUGGGGUAACGGCCCACCAAGGCGACGAUGCAUAGCCGACCUGAGAGGGUGAUCGGCCACACUGGGACUGAGACACGGCCCAGACUCCUACGGGAGGCAGCAGUAGGGAAUCUUCCACAAUGGACGAAAGUCUGAUGGAGCAACGCCGCGUGAGUGAUGAAGGUUUUCGGAUCGUAAAACUCUGUUGUAAGGGAAGAACACGUACGAGAGGGAAUGCUCGUACCUUGACGGUACCUUACGAGAAAGCCACGGCUAACUACGUGCCAGCAGCCGCCGUAA